Molecule: long non-coding RNA, 348 nt
Filed under: Hordeum vulgare
Lineage: Eukaryota; Viridiplantae; Streptophyta; Magnoliopsida; Poales; Poaceae
Description: long non-coding RNA (HVUL_LNC000770)
Source: RNAcentral
CCCAUUGGGGGCUUUUCAAACAUAUUUUCUCUGCUAGAUCCCAAACCAUCAAACGACUUCACCAGUCGGAUGAUAAGACACACCUUCUCCAGCUCUGCGGAGGCUUAGGUUUUUAGAAGAAGAGUAGAAGUAGUUAUCCUGCUCUUCAGCUGAGUGAGUCAGUUAGGAACUGGCAGUCGACAUGGUUCUACUGCCAGGACGUUGCCUAUCCGAAUGCCACGACAGGGUUGCCUCCUUUUAGCUUAGAUCGACCCGCUCCCCCCAAGCAGCUUGCGCUCACGAAGGCGGAGAAGAUCGACAUCCAGCCUCUGGUCGACGCACUCGUAGAUGUCGUCAGAAGGGGAGUCA